GGAGUAAAAGUCGUAACAAGGUUUCCGUAGGUGAACCUGCGGAAGGAUCAUUAACACAUCCUUUUCUUCAAAUCUGCAACCGGUGCACUUUAGAUCCUAUCAGGCUUUGGCUUGAGAGCAAUGUCAGGUUUUUUGCUUCUCUCUCUGAGAGAAGGAAAGAAUGGCUCUCAAGAUGUUUGCCCAUGUUGUAGUGUGUCGUGCAUGCACGGCACGCUACUUCCACGGUGAGGUGAUACACUGACUUGAUAGGAGCCCACAGCCUCUGUCAUGGCUGGCCCUUUUUUUCUUUUAACCAUACCUUCUAAGCACUUAGAAUGCUGUGUUGUAGAUCUGGUGUAUCUAAUAAAUGCAUCUCCUGCUACUCAGCGACCCUUGAGCAAGUCCUCCGGGCCUUUGUUCAUUGGAAUCAAAAACACAACUCUUAACAGCGGAUAUCUCGGUUCUC
Molecule: unclassified non-coding RNA, 445 nt
Filed under: plant metagenome
Description: partial contains small subunit ribosomal RNA and internal transcribed spacer 1
Rfam family: Eukaryotic small subunit ribosomal RNA (bases 1-53)
Source: RNAcentral